Rosa chinensis is the source of this 1705-nucleotide RNA transcript. RefSeq lists it as uncharacterized. The record is from RefSeq and is a predicted model, not a curated record. NCBI's taxonomy places the organism in Eukaryota, Viridiplantae, Streptophyta, Magnoliopsida, Rosales, Rosaceae. The transcript has 7 exons.
AGGAGACUCUCCGUUUUCGUUUUCAGUUUUCAUUCGCAGUCACCAUCCAGCCACGGCUCCAAACUGCAAAGCGAAACCGAUCAUUAAGCCAAUAACAGACGGCAGCAAGAGUAGAUCUUCGUCCACAGCAAGAGUAGAGUUCCACAAAUCCCCUCCAUUGGAAUACCGCUUUUCUGAGAAAGCCCCCGUCAAUUUGGAUCCGAUUGUUUGGUUAGGAGGCGGCGCUGAAGAAUGAAGAAGGACUGGGCUUGAGAAACGAAACCCGAAAUCGAAAUCGAGAAUUGGUAGAGUUCCACAAAUCCCUUCCAUCGGAAUACCGCUUUUCUGACAAACCCCCCGUCAAUUUCGAUCCGAUUGUUUGGGGAGGAGGCGGCGCUGAAGAAGGAAAACGGACCGGGCUUGAGAAACGAAACCCGAAAUUAAACAUGGCCUUUGGGAAGAGGUCGAAAUCGAGAUGUCACCGAAUCCCAGACGAGGGGUCGCUGCCCAAGUGAAUUGCGUAUAAGUAAUUUGUAAUUAUUCAAGUGGAGAUUUGGAUGGCUGUGGUAAAUAUAUGUAGGAUUAAAUGAUAUUCAAGUGGCGACUUGUAUGGCAGUGGUGAUUGUAUAUAUAUUUGUCGCUAAUUUAUGUGAAUAAUUGCACUCCAAAUGAACGUUGCAUAGGUGAAUAGAAAAAGGUGAGAUCGUCUAGGGUCGGCCAUCGGCGUCCAUCAGAAGACCGCAGAUCUGCCAUAGCCCCCUUCAAUUUCUAUCCGACAGUUUGUGUAGCAGACUAGCAGGCAAGGUGACGAUGGCAAUAAGCUAUUGUGGUUGGACAGGGUGACCGGAAGGGUUUGCACGUCGAUUUCUGCAAAGGCCAUGGCUAUAACAGGGAUUGAGGAUUGGCGAUACUGGAACUGGAUUGCUGCUGAAGAAUCAAGGAGUCAAAAGUGGUAUGAACCAGAAUGGUGGAAGUUUGGUGAUAUAAAAUCAUAUUUUUGCCAUGCUUCAGGUGAGAUGUAUGUCAUUUCUCAAGGUCUGGCCAAAUUUGUUUGAAUAAAUUGCUCCUAUCAUCAUUAGUUUCAUCAAGGUACAAGCACUACAAAAAAGAAUUGAUGUAAUUGCUUUUGUUUAUAUUUCUUACGUGGUUCUCUUGGACAGGAGGUCUGUCUCUCUCCCUCACACAUAUACACAAGUUACUAUAUAAAAUUUGGUGCCAGCCCGUGCCGAUUCAGUUGAUUUACUUCUUAAGGUGUUUUUUGUUACAGAAGCCAUUUGUGCUGGUGUAUGAUUUAUUUGCUUUGUGGUGGUGGAUCAAAGUUAAACCAGAUGUAGGGAGAUGGUUUAAAAGACAUGAAUCCAAUAUCCAUGAGAUGUUUGCAGCCUGCACAAUGUAGACUGUAGAGUAUGAAGAUUGAGGAAAAAUCAUAGCUGUGAUUGAGAAUUUAUUCCAAGAAUCUUACCGUAGGUGAAGUAGCUUUGUUCCCAUUACAGUACACUGCAGAUAGGAAAGAAGGGAUUUCAACAAACUAUGCCUAGAGAAGGCGGUCGGUAUAGCUUUAUAGGUUUAGUAACACAAAUUUUACAGUGUAAUAGAGGGUGUUCUUAUUGCAACAUAAUCACACAUUUCUUUAUUCAGAGCAGUAAAAAUUUUGGAUUUCCUUUUGAAAAUAUGUACUCAUCUCUGGAAUGAUGGUCAAGAUUGGUUCAUUCUUGUAUUUGUAUUC